UGAUUCCUGUGGAGGUCCAAUAGAUGGACAUUUUCAUGUUUUCAUAUAAACAUGUUGCAUUCCCACUCUUUUUCCAGAGAGAAAUUUAAUACUAUUUAGCCAGCUCCCACAUAGGCCAUCACCAGGAUUUCUCCAACUCUGACGGACAAAUAGGAGCAGCAGCCAGAUUCGAAGCAGACAUAAGGUGGGAAAAGGUCUGCAAUUUCCCAAGGUGCCAACCCUGCACAAUCCAAGAUCAUAUUAGGAGGAAAAAGUGCGAUCUUUUGGUGGUAACUUUCAGUACUUACAGACCACUAUCUUUUGUAAAAAAAAAUUAUUACUCUUUUAUAUUUUCUUUUUCUUAUAAAUCUUUUAUAAAUAGUUUCUGCAAAUUCUACUUUUCUAAUAAAUUAAGGUCGGGUGGCUUUGCCUCCCGCUUUAUAAAAAAAACUUUCAGUACAUGCAUACAAUAAUGACUAAACUGGCUUAAGUAUCUGAAUCUUUGUAGCCUAUGGUUGGAAGGAAGUUUAGGCCUGAGGGCAUCAAUUUUCAUUUUAGCGAGAUAUUGGAAGAACAAUUCCUUAAGAUGAUGAUCAUGAUGGAGAAAUAAUGCGUCAGGGCAAAUGCACGAUAACUCGAAGGCGUGUCAGCACGCACUCGCAUGCUUGCAUGAGGGCUAAGUCGGUAUAUCUUUUUAAUCUCUCACAAAACAUCAUUAUCAUGACAAUUGGUGGAGAACCAAUUCAGAUAACAUAUGAUAAUUUAUCCUGUCAUAUAGGAAGAACAUGAUAAACAUGAUCCGACAGCGAGAUAAUGGUUUUUAAGUAGAAAGAUAAAGCGACAAACCACUGAUUACUAUUAUAGUUAUUAUUCUUUUUUAUUACUUUGGCUUCAUCUAAUGUACCUUCCGGGUCCACAUGGUGUUACUUCAAAGAAAGCAAAUGCCAUGAAUUCUGCUGAAAAUUUUAUGUUUUCCUCCAUCAUUUCAUUUAGAUAUAUCCAACAAAGCAAUUGGAUAUCGCAUCAUGUGAACUUCAAUUAAUUUUUAAAACUUGCAUGUUAAUUUAUUUGGUUUUGGACUAUCUGUUACAUUGCUUCACGACAAGGACAUUUCUCCUGUAUUUAUGAACCACCAAUCUUUGCAUAGUUUCUAAGCUUGCUUAAAAAAGGAUUAAAGUCAAUGCUUCUAUUCAUCAUCAAACAGUUGCGGUUAAGAAAGGCAACACAUUGCCAUCGUUAAUUGGUUUUGGACAGAGAGAUCCACAUGAGUCUAAGCUAGAGUUCCAAAGCCUCAUCAAGUUGCAGGACUUUCAGGUCGCCCUCAUGAUCUUUUAUUUUUUUGUCAUUCAAUUGCGAUGAGGACGGAAUCCAACAAAGGUUGUCCUCAUAUCAAACACACACCAUAGGGGACAUCACAUGCACUAUUUCAAUUAUUUAGACUUCAAUGUCACACAAGCUGGUUGUACGGAAACGUUGGAUUUUCCUUCUACUUUUUUUGAUCUGGAUGUAAAUUUUUGUGGACAACCAAGUGGAAAUGUGAAGAGAGCAAGUAAUAUCCAAGAAAGUAAAAAGAAAGAGGAGCAGAAGAAAUUACAUACCAAAGAAACAGAUAGGAAGAUUGGAUAGGAGUAGAUAGAUCAUAUUAGAUUAUCAGGCAGAAGACAGAGAGAGAGCCAAGAAAUUGAUCUAAUCGAGAAAUCAUGUCACCGAGUCCAAACUCAAACAAUAGUUAACAGUAAAAGUCAAUAAGAUAGUGGGUGUAAAAUAUUAGCAUCAUGGUUUUUAGAUUCUAACUGCAGUAAUUGCUGAAUUUGAUGUUAUCUUUCCUUGACAUGUUACAUCUCUCUUACAUUCUCCACUGGAAAUUGAACAGUUAUUAUAGAAAGACAGAUCUGUCUUAACAUCUAUUGUAGCCUGCCUUUCACAUUCACUGCCAACAAGAUAGGAACCUUUUAAGGUGAACCCAAUUGAAUAGGUCAUCGAAUCGAUUCAAAUGUUCGCUGUGAUCAAAAGAGGCCAUUCUAAUCAAAUUUAUUGCCACAGACCAGUCCGAUUUCAUACUUCAGAUCGACUCGAUAGGGGUGGACCUGUCAUCCUGAAGUUUAGUCAUGAUCUGCUCUUUAAUGUUGUUUAGAGAGGGAAAAAGCAUUGGUCCAUGUAAUCAGUUCAACCCAUCACCCAAAUCCUGACUAUCUUUUGAGUGAAGAAGCUCGGUGUCUUAACAACCAUUGGUGAAUGAGAGCACUCUUGGGCUGAACUUUCCUCUUUAGGCUGAAAUUGUCCAUGAAAGAGAACCUUAUGUUUGUGCCUAGAAUUUGUGAGCCUAUCUUGUUAGCUAUUUAAUCAUUAAAGCUUCAUUAGUUCAGCAAGACACAUGCUCUGCUACAGGCAUAUUUCUCUGCCAAACCUCACAUAAACAGCAUGCACUUUCCAGUAUUGUACAUGGAAAACAAAAAAAAAAUCACAUUUAUGUUGCGCUUAUGUAUAGUUCGAAAGGAGGAAAAAAGCCCUACAAUUUUGAAGGCCAUAUGGCAAAUCAACACAAUAUUUUACAUUUGCUUUGCACUGUGAAGAAGGACUACAGAUCUAGAGAGGUGGCAAAUGUAGAAAGAAAAGGCAAAAGGCAGGCCUCAUAUUUCAGGCAGAUUCAUUGUUAGUUCUUCCCUUGUGCUGACUGCAAGGGACUAACAAAUGAAUGCUAGUACUACAGCCUGCUCCCUUGGCUCAUCAAAGCCCCAAGAGUGAGAAAAUGAGAACAUAUUCUAUAUCCCAUAGGCUGUUGGAUUAGGUGGUUUGCUAAUUGGAUAACCAUUCAUUUGUCUUGAGAUUCAGACACCACUACCUGACUUUCAUUAUGCACAGACAAGCCCAGCAGCACUUUGAGACGGGGAAACUUCAAAAUGCAAACGAACCAGCAAAGCAUGAUCGCAUAAUUAUAGUCCUGAAUUAAGAUGACAAAACUGCACUGCCUGGAUGUUGAACUAAGUCAACCCAAGGCAGCAUCAGCUGUUAUUCAGUCAAAGAACGAAGGUUUCUGAAAAAUAUUUAGUCUGAUGCUACCCCGUAAGAGUUGUGAUUUGAAAAAAGCAUUGUACGGACUGACAAAACUGUGACCAGGGGAUUACACACCUGAUUGCUUGAUAGAUGCCAUAUUGAUGCUUCUAAACUUUGUAGCACAAAAGCUAAAGCCUAUCAUGCAAAGAGAUUUUAUGUGAAGUGCGCAUUUCAAACCUUUAAGUACACCUUGUAGGAAAGGCAUACAAGUUGAUACUUUAAAAAAUUUCACAACCAACUAGGACGAAAGAAAUGAUCUUUGAACUCAAUGGUAAGAUAAGCUCUUAUGCACUGAUCAUUAAGAUUUAUCCAUAUUUGGCAUGUAGAAUGUGUGAUAUGUACCGUAUAUCAUAGUCCAGACAUAACAACGUUGCACAGUUUCACAAUUUCUUUUUUCUUUUAUUUUUUUACAAUUCUAAAUCUUUGCGAGAAUUCAAUGAGAUGCAUUCCUUAUGCCUUGAUAUUUGUGCCGCAUGCCAAAACAUGCCACUCAGGUGUGGCACAUGACAUGGCCAUAUAUUCCCUAGGACAUAACCUUAGAGAGCAUGCAAGACCUAUAGAUCUGAACCAAUUACUUAAUAAUAGCAAAGUAUUUCAUAAAUAAUAAGUGCCAGAAAUACAAGUUUAGAUACAUCUGGUAUCAGGUAUAUGGUCCAACUAACUUUCCUACCAAAUUUUCAGAUCGAUCUCAUGAAGCUAGGCAUCCUAUGGCUUUGAAAAGAGAGAAAAAAUGAUAAUAUAAUACAAACACUAGCAUAAACAAGAUAAUAGUUUUCAACAGAUAUAUAACUACUAAGAAUAUUGCUAUUUUAUAAUUCAUAUACCAAUAAUUUGGUUAUUAAAUAUUUAGCGAACAGAUAUAGUAUAUAUAUUUCAUAUAACAAUGCUAACAUGUAUUACCAGUAUAGACCAAAUAGCUAUUCUUAUAUAUAUCACCAAGUCAGUAGUUCUAUUUAAUAGUAAUUUUAGUUAGAAAUAUUUAUCAUUACUUGAUUAACAUGGGACGGAUCCAACAAUAUUGAUUUUUCGGCAUUUGAACUAACCAUGGUCAUGCUCCAACUCGUAAUGGGCAAAUGAUAGUACCAUACUCAGAUACUCUGGCUCAUGGCGAAGCCAUCUAUAGUGUCAUACUCCAGCCAAUGUAUGGCAAACUAGAGUAUGUGGCAAAGUCACCGUUAGUGUCACACUUUAACUCAAGACUAAGCAAAUUAUGAUACCAUGUUCCUGCCGUGGUGAUGCCAUCUAUAGUAUCCCACUCUAAUCCAUGACUAGAAAAUCAUGGUACAAUGUCUUUGGCUAUGCCAUCCACAAUAUCAUCUAUCCAAAAGUCCUAUUUUUAAGUCUUUCAAUUGUCCCACUUUCUUUAUGGAUUAUUUUUUUAUUGAUAUGCUUAUUGUAAUUAAGCAUAAUUUAAUAUCAUAAUCCAUGCUAUCCAUACUCAUCGACACACGAUCAUAUGCACAUAUAAUAUCCAUAAUUAUGAAGAAGAUUCUUAUAAAAUAUUUAUCUUAAUCAUCAGGAGAUAAUAUAUACAUACAUACGCGCGCGCGCGCGCGCGUGUGUAAUAUCCAUAAUCAUGCAGGGGGUAGCAUAUGGGGAUCCUUACCUCAACUGGAAGCGGAGACUAGCAUGACGUGCCGACUCAGUCUGUAGGUACAUCUCGA
Molecule: long non-coding RNA, 4697 nt
Filed under: Phoenix dactylifera (date palm)
Lineage: Eukaryota; Viridiplantae; Streptophyta; Magnoliopsida; Arecales; Arecaceae
Description: long non-coding RNA (PDAC_LNC003197)
Source: RNAcentral